This 399-nucleotide ribosomal RNA is filed under the name uncultured bacterium. Its description in RNAcentral is "bacterial SSU rRNA". It matches the Rfam family "Bacterial small subunit ribosomal RNA", at positions 8 to 403 of the family's 1533-position model. The record is from RNAcentral.
AGAGUUUGAUCCUGGCUCAGAUUGAACGCUGGCGGCAGGCCUAACACAUGCAAGUCGAGCGGUAACACAGGAGAGCUUGCUCUCUGGGUGGCGAGCGGCGGACGGGUGAGUAACGUCUGGGAAACUGCCUGAUGGAGGGGGAUAACUACUGGAAACGGUAGCUAAUACCGCAUGAUGUCGCAAGACCAAAGUGGGGGACCUUCGGGCCUCACGCCAUCGGAUGUGCCCAGAUGGGAUUAGCUAGUAGGUGAGGUAAUGGCUCACCUAGGCGACGAUCCCUAGCUGGUCUGAGAGGAUGACCAGCCACACUGGAACUGAGACACGGUCCAGACCCCUACGGGAGGCAGCAGUGGGGAAUAUUGCACAAUGGGCGCAAGCCUGAUGCAGCCAUGCCGCGUG